GGAGGCCGAAACGUGCUCGUGGAGGCCGAGACUUGCGGCAGUUGGGGGCUGUGGGAGCGGCGCAUAUGCAAGGCUGCUUAGGGUUUUAGUUGCUGGACUAGGGUUCUUUUCUUUUUGUUUUUGUUUUUGGUCUAUUGGGCCUAUGCGGGCCUGUAUUUGUUGGGCUGUUAAUUUGUUUGAACUUGGGUCAAUUGGGCCCUAUUACAAUAGUAAUACCAGACAUAGCAAUGACACUUUUAUUAUCACGUCAUAUUAUUGGUAUACAUGACAAUUCAACAAGUUCAUCAAAUAAGGACUUAAGCCAUAUCAAUUUUGAAACUAUGCUAGCAACACUAUUGUAUUAUGCUUUGGAUAAGGCAACUCCA
Molecule: long non-coding RNA, 365 nt
Filed under: Gossypium raimondii (Peruvian cotton)
Lineage: Eukaryota; Viridiplantae; Streptophyta; Magnoliopsida; Malvales; Malvaceae
Description: long non-coding RNA (GRAI_LNC001004)
Source: RNAcentral